UCCAGACUCCUACGGGAGGCAGCAGUCGGGAAUAUUGCGCAAUGGAGGAAACUCUGACGCAGUGACGCCGCGUAUAGGAAGAAGGUUUUCGGAUUGUAAACUAUUGUCGUUAGGGAAGAUACAAGACAGUACCUAAGGAGGAAGCCCCGGCUAACUAUGUGCCAGCAGCCGCGGUAAUACAUAGGGGGCAAGCGUUAUCCGGAUUUACUGGGUGUAAAGGGAGCGUAGACGGCAGAGCAAGUCUGAAGUGAAAGCCCGCGGCCCAACUGCGGGACUGCUUUGGAAACUGCCCGGCUAGAGUGCUGGAGAGGUAAGCGGAAUUCCUAGUGUAGCGGUGAAAUGCGUAGAUAUUAGGAGGAACACCAGUGGCGAAGGCGGCUUACUGGACAGUAACUGACGUUGAGGCUCGAAAGCGUGGGGAGCAAACAGGAUUAGAUACCCCGGUAA
This 447-nucleotide ribosomal RNA is filed under the name uncultured bacterium. RNAcentral describes it as "bacterial SSU rRNA". It matches the Rfam family "Bacterial small subunit ribosomal RNA", at positions 330 to 793 of the family's 1533-position model. The record is from RNAcentral.